GUAGGUGAACCUGCGGAAGGAUCAUUAUCGAGUUAGGGUCCUCUGGGCCCAUCUCCAACCCUUGCCUACCACAUUGCUCCGGCAUCUGCGCCAGAGUGAUUUUUAAAAAUUUCUUUUUAAAUUCUUCAACCAUGACGUCCUACGGGAGAAUAUCAAUGAAUUAAAACUUUCAACAACGGAUCUCUUGGUUCUGGCAUCGAUGAAGAACGCAGCAUCUGACUGACUGGAAGCUUGUCUAUCUCGUAUGCCG
RNAcentral lists this unclassified non-coding RNA (250 nucleotides) under plant metagenome. RNAcentral describes it as "partial contains small subunit ribosomal RNA, internal transcribed spacer 1, and 5.8S ribosomal RNA". The record is from RNAcentral.